Molecule: transfer RNA, 85 nt
Filed under: bacterium
Lineage: Bacteria
Also listed under: 1 other name
Description: tRNA-Leu
Rfam family: tRNA
About the family: Transfer RNA (tRNA) molecules are approximately 80 nucleotides in length.
Source: RNAcentral
GCCCGAGUGGUGAAAUAGGUAAACACAGUAGACUUAAAAUCUGCCGCCGACAGGCUUGACGGUUCGAUUCCGUCCUCGGGCACCA